RNAcentral lists this ribosomal RNA (533 nucleotides) under uncultured Paracoccaceae bacterium. RNAcentral's name for it is "bacterial SSU rRNA". It matches the Rfam family "Bacterial small subunit ribosomal RNA", at positions 355 to 907 of the family's 1533-position model. Lineage: Bacteria; Pseudomonadati; Pseudomonadota; Alphaproteobacteria; Rhodobacterales; Paracoccaceae. The record is from RNAcentral.
UGGGGAAUCUUAGACAAUGGGCGAAAGCCUGAUCUAGCGAUGCCGCGUGAGUGACGAAGGCCUUAGGGUCGUAAAGCUCUUUCGCCAGGGAUGAUAAUGACAGUACCUGGUAAAGAAACCCCGGCUAACUCCGUGCCAGCAGCCGCGGUAAUACGGAGGGGGUUAGCGUUGUUCGGAAUUACUGGGCGUAAAGCGCACGUAGGCGGAUCAGAAAGUGUGGGGUGAAAUCCCAGGGCUCAACCCUGGAACUGCCCUGCAAACUAUUGGUCUAGAGUUCGAGAGAGGUAAGUGGAAUUCCGAGUGUAGAGGUGAAAUUCGUAGAUAUUCGGAGGAACACCAGUGGCGAAGGCGGCUUACUGGCUCGAUACUGACGCUGAGGUGCGAAAGUGUGGGGAGCAAACAGGAUUAGAUACCCUGGUAGUCCACACCGUAAACGAUGAAUGCCAGACGUCAGGGGGCUUGCCCUUUGGUGUCACACCUAACGGAUUAAGCAUUCCGCCUGGGGAGUACGGUCGCAAGAUUAAACUCAAAUG